CAGAGUAUAGCUAAAUAGAAAAGCAUCUCCCUUACACUGAGAAGUCAUCUGUGCAAAUCAGAUUACCCUGA
Molecule: transfer RNA, 71 nt
Filed under: Ablabys taenianotus (cockatoo waspfish)
Lineage: Eukaryota; Metazoa; Chordata; Actinopteri; Perciformes; Tetrarogidae
Description: tRNA-Val
Rfam family: tRNA
About the family: Transfer RNA (tRNA) molecules are approximately 80 nucleotides in length. Their secondary structure includes four short double-helical elements and three loops (D, anti-codon, and T loops). Further hydrogen bonds mediate the characteristic L-shaped molecular structure. tRNAs have two regions of fundamental functional importance: the anti-codon, which is responsible for specific mRNA codon recognition, and the 3' end, to which the tRNAs corresponding amino acid is attached (by aminoacyl-tRNA synthetases). tRNAs cope with the degeneracy of the genetic code in two manners: having more than one tRNA (with a specific anti-codon) for a particular amino acid; and 'wobble' base-pairing, i.e. permitting non-standard base-pairing at the 3rd anti-codon position.
Source: RNAcentral